UACGUAGGGGGCAAGCGUUAUCCGGAUUUACUGGGUGUAAAGGGAGCGUAGACGGCAGCACAAGUCUGGAGUGAAAUCCCAUGGCUUAACCAUGGAACUGCUUUGGAAACUGUGCAGCUUGAGUGCAGAAGAGGACAGUGGAACUCCAUGUGUAGCGGUGGAAUGCGUAGAUAUAUGGAAGAACACCAGUGGCGAAGGCGGCUGUCUGGUCUGCAACUGACGCUGAGGCUCGAAAGCAUGGGUAGCGAACAGG
Molecule: ribosomal RNA, 253 nt
Filed under: uncultured Eubacteriales bacterium
Lineage: Bacteria; Bacillati; Bacillota; Clostridia; Eubacteriales
Description: uncultured Clostridiales bacterium partial 16S ribosomal RNA
Rfam family: Bacterial small subunit ribosomal RNA
Source: RNAcentral